This 445-nucleotide ribosomal RNA is filed under the name uncultured bacterium. RNAcentral's name for it is "partial 16S ribosomal RNA". It matches the Rfam family "Bacterial small subunit ribosomal RNA", at positions 354 to 796 of the family's 1533-position model. The record is from RNAcentral.
GUGAGGAAUAUUGGUCAAUGGACGAGAGUCUGAACCAGCCAAGUCGCGUGAAGGAAGACGGUUCUAUGAAUUGUAAACUUCUUUUGUGCAGGAAUAAAGUGGGUUACGUGUAACCUUUUGUAUGUACUGUACGAAUAAGGAUCGGCUAACUCCGUGCCAGCAGCCGCGGUAAUACGGAGGAUCCGAGCGUUAUCCGGAUUUAUUGGGUUUAAAGGGUGCGUAGGUGGAUUGAUAAGUCAGCGGUGAAAGUUUGCAGCUUAACUGUAAAAUUGCCGUUGAAACUGUCGGUCUUGAGUGCAAAUGAGGUAGGCGGAAUGUUUUGUGUAGCGGUGAAAUGCUUAGAUAUAACACAGAACUCCGAUUGCGAAGGCAGCUUACUGGGAUGCAACUGACACUGAUGCACGAAAGCGUGAGUAUCAAACAGGAUUAGAAACCCGUGUAGUCC